GUGGAUGCGGGUACAACGUCUAUAUGGGCGUAAGAGCUCGUAGGCGGUCUGUCGCGUCUGCUGUGAAAACCCGAGGCUCAACCUCGGGCCUGCAGUGGGUACGGGCAGACUAGAGUGCGGUAGGGGAGAUUGGAAUUCCUGGUGUAGCGGUGGAAUGCGCAGAUAUCAGGAGGAACACCGAUGGCGAAGGCAGAUCUCUGGGCCGUAACUGACGCUGAGGAGCGAAAGGGUGGGGAGCAAACAGGCUUAGAUACCCUGGUAGUCCACCCCGUAAACGUUGGGAACUAGUUGUGGGGUCCAUUCCACGGAUUCCGUGACGCAGCUAACGCAUUAAGUUCCCCGCCUGGGGAGUACGGCCGCAAGGCUAAAACUCAAAGGAAUUGACGGGGACCCGCACAAGCGGCGGAGCAUGCGGAUUAAUUCGAUGCAACGCGAAGAACCUUACCAAGGCUUGACAUAUAGAGGAAACGUCUGGAAACAGUCGCCCCGCAAGGUCUCUAUACAGGUGGUGCAUGGUUGUCGUCAGCUCGUGUCGUGAGAUGUUGGGUUAAGUCCCGCAACGAGCGCAACCCUCGUUCUAUGUUGCCAGCACGUAAUGGUGGGAACUCAUGGGAUACUGCCGGGGUCAACUCGGAGGAAGGUGGGGAUGACGUCAAAUCAUCAUGCCCCUUAUGUCUUGGGCUUCACGCAUGCUACAAUGGCCGGUACAAAGGGCUGCAAUACCGUGAGGUGGAGCGAAUCCCAAAAAGCCGGUCCCAGUUCGGAUUGAGGUCUGCAACUCGACCUCAUGAAGUCGGAGU
This 800-nucleotide ribosomal RNA is filed under the name Microbacterium sp. SKS56. Its description in RNAcentral is "bacterial SSU rRNA". It matches the Rfam family "Bacterial small subunit ribosomal RNA", at positions 528 to 1332 of the family's 1533-position model. Lineage: Bacteria; Bacillati; Actinomycetota; Actinomycetes; Micrococcales; Microbacteriaceae. The record is from RNAcentral.